Long non-coding RNA from Grammomys surdaster, 152 nucleotides. RefSeq lists it as uncharacterized. The transcript is spliced from 2 exons. Lineage: Eukaryota; Metazoa; Chordata; Mammalia; Rodentia; Muridae. The record is from RefSeq and is a predicted model, not a curated record.
UCUCAAGGCCAGUUUCACUGGUAACCAAGAAGGCAAUAAAGUAAAUGAAAAGAUAAUGAGCUAAGAAGACAAUGUCCUUAGAAGAUUAUGACAUAGGAGCUAUGUAGUUAUACCUUUAUCUUCACUCUAUCAAUAAAAUAUCGAGCAUGCGA